AUACAGAGGGUGCGAGCGUUAAUCGGAAUUACUGGGCGUAAAGCGCGCGUAGGCGGCUUAUUAAGUCAGAUGUGAAAUCCCCGGGCUCAACCUGGGAACUGCAUCUGAUACUGGUAAGCUAGAGUUUUGGAGAGGGAAGUAGAAUUUCAGGUGUAGCGAUGAAAUGCAUAGAGAUCUGAAGGAAUACCAGUGGCGAAGGCGACUUCCUGGCCAAAAACUGACGCUGAGGUGCGAAAGCGUGGGUAGCAAACGGGAGUAGAAACCCUAGUAGUCC
Molecule: ribosomal RNA, 274 nt
Filed under: uncultured bacterium
Lineage: Bacteria
Description: partial 16S ribosomal RNA
Rfam family: Bacterial small subunit ribosomal RNA
Source: RNAcentral